RNAcentral lists this ribosomal RNA (235 nucleotides) under uncultured bacterium. RNAcentral's name for it is "partial 16S ribosomal RNA". It matches the Rfam family "Bacterial small subunit ribosomal RNA", at positions 102 to 334 of the family's 1533-position model. The record is from RNAcentral.
CACGGGUGAGUAACACGUAUCCAACCUGCCGUCUACUCUUGGACAGCCUUCUGAAAGGAAGAUUAAUCCAGGAUGGCAUCAUGAGUUCACAUGUCCGCAUGAUUAAAGGUAUUUUCCGGUAGACGAUGGGGAUGCGUUCCAUUAGAUAGUAGGCGGGGUAACGGCCCACCUAGUCAACGAUGGAUAGGGGUUCUGAGAGGAAGGUCCCCCACAUUGGAACUGAGACACGGUCCAA